ACAAUGGAGAGUUUGAUCCUGGCUCAGGACGAACGCUGGCGGCGUGCUUAACACAUGCAAGUCAAGGAGAACGUAUUCUUCGGAAUACUAUUAAACUGGCGAACGGGUGAGUAACGCGUAGGCAACCUGCCCUAGAGACGGGGAUAACUUCGGGAAACCGGGGCUAAUACCGGAUAAUGCAGCGGAUCCUUCGGGAUACAGUUGUUAAAGCGGGCUUCGGCUCGCACUUUAGGAUGGGCCUGCGUCCGAUUAGCUUGUUGGUAAGGUAAUGGCUUACCAAGGCGAUGAUCGGUAGCUGGUCUGAGAGGAUGAUCAGCCACACUGGGAUUGAGAUACGGCCCAGACUCCUACGGGAGGCAGCAGUGGGGAAUUUUGCGCAAUGGGGGAAACCCUGACGCAGCAAC
RNAcentral lists this ribosomal RNA (404 nucleotides) under Fidelibacterota bacterium. RNAcentral's name for it is "bacterial SSU rRNA". It matches the Rfam family "Bacterial small subunit ribosomal RNA", at positions 1 to 395 of the family's 1533-position model. Lineage: Bacteria; Pseudomonadati; Fidelibacterota. The record is from RNAcentral.